This 72-nucleotide transfer RNA is filed under the name Acidobacteriota bacterium. RNAcentral describes it as "Acidobacteria bacterium (activated sludge metagenome) tRNA-His". It matches the Rfam family "tRNA". Rfam says of the family: Transfer RNA (tRNA) molecules are approximately 80 nucleotides in length. Their secondary structure includes four short double-helical elements and three loops (D, anti-codon, and T loops). Lineage: Bacteria; Pseudomonadati; Acidobacteriota. The record is from RNAcentral.
GCGGGUGUAGCUCAGUUGGUUAGAGCGCCAGAUUGUGGCUCUGGAGGUCGGGUUCGAGACCCACUACCCGCC